AGUGAACGCUGGCGGUAGGCCUAACACAUGCAAGUCGAACGGCAGCACAGUAAGAGCUUGCUCUUACGGGUGGCGAGUGGCGGACGGGUGAGGAAUACAUCGGAAUCUACUUUUUCGUGGGGGAUAACGUAGGGAAACUUACGCUAAUACCGCAUACGACCUACGGGUGAAAGCAGGGGAUCUUCGGACCUUGCGCGAGUGAAUGAGCCGAUGUCGGAUUAGCUAGUUGGCGGGGUAAAGGCCCACCAAGGCGACGAUCCGUAGCUGGUCUGAGAGGAUGAUCCGCCACACUGGCACUGAGGCACGGUCCAGACUCCUACGGGAGGCAGCAGUGGGGACUAUUGGACAAUGGGCGCAAGCCUGAUCCAGCCAUACCGCGUGGGUGAAGAAGGCCUUCUGGUUGUAAAGCCCUUUUGUUGGGAAAGAAAAGCAGCAGGUUAAUCCCCCGCUGUUCCGACGGUACCCAAAGAAUAAGCACCGGCUAACUUCGUG
RNAcentral lists this ribosomal RNA (492 nucleotides) under uncultured bacterium. RNAcentral describes it as "partial 16S ribosomal RNA". It matches the Rfam family "Bacterial small subunit ribosomal RNA", at positions 29 to 507 of the family's 1533-position model. The record is from RNAcentral.